This is a long non-coding RNA of Trachemys scripta elegans, 2100 nucleotides long. RefSeq lists it as uncharacterized. The transcript is spliced from 3 exons. The record is from RefSeq and is a predicted model, not a curated record. NCBI's taxonomy places the organism in Eukaryota, Metazoa, Chordata, Testudines, Emydidae.
GGGAGGGGCUGGAGGCGCUCAGCCCAGACAGCCAACCCGGGCAGGGCGAGGGAGGGCUUUCCUUGUCCGGCGGCGGGUCCCGGCGCGGGGGCGGUAGGAGGCGCGCGCGGGGUGUGGAGUACUGAGGUGUCGGGGCCAUCGAGAGCUGGCUGCCGUGGAGGGAGGAGCUGGACAGGAUUUUAUCAAAGUACAGGACCACCUACCCCAGGCAGCAUGUGAAAGCUGCUGGCUGCAAUCUCACUCCACACACCCCUCCUCCUCAAGGAUGACCAGCAAGAUUCAUGAGCACAAGGAGGCCAGUGAAGAGAUCUCCCUGGAAACCCUGAUCUGUUGGGACUCAGGACCCUGCUGCUAGCCAGGCUGAAGACUGAUUCCUGCCCUGCAGCAACCAACUUUGAUUCCCAGCAAGCAACCCAAACCAGGACGGAGGAGGCUGAUCCUAUGGAGGGAACCUUGACAUGUAGUCAUCCCAGGUCUGCAGAACGAUCUUUUCCCACCAAUCCACGCUGGUUUUCCAAGCCCAGAAAUGGCACUGCAUGCUCCGAAGAUGCUUCCGGAACUGGUCCUCUACUAUCAAUUGCUUGCGAUCUUCUUCUUCUUCCUCAUCCACAUCCCAGUUCCACUGCCAUUGAAGACCCUCCUGAUACUGGAGGAGCUGCUGCUGCUGCCACCAUAUCAUCUGCUCGGUGGUGCAGAUGGUGAAGUCCAAAGUCAAACUAAUCUGGCUUUACAUGCUGAAAUACAGGCCAGGCAGCCUCUAUAUAUUUGCAGCUGACAGCACAGUGUCAUGGAGCACUUGGCUCCAUGCUGGCCAACAGCAAUUCAAAAAUGGCCCUAGCCCAACCAUAAAGGAGGUAUAGGAUGAAGACAGCUGAAUCAUGGAAUUUAAAAAAAUGUGAUUUUCAGCCUGGCAUCCCAUAAUGCACACACAACAGCAAAGGCCGAUGGGAUAUCCUCUAAGAAUGCUAUGCCCUCAGUCCACAGCACACCACUGCUUUGUGUACACUACAUGCACUUACAGAGGACACACCAGCCCUUGUGCACACUAUUACUGAGGCUUCUGUGCGGUGUGUUAUCUGAUGUACAGCAAAAAGUUGGGCUUUGGGUAGACAAGCACUUAGUGAGGGCUGUUUCAGUGGAAUGGAGCAGAUCAAGGUUAGAGUAGAGGAAGUCAAGGCAUUGUGCAAGAAAAACUGCAGGAGGAUCUUAAAAAUAAAAAAAGAAGAGGGUAAUAGGUUGAUAGCAAUGUCAGGCUGAAUUAGGUCACAUUAACAGCCCAAAGGUUAAAGUAAUUGACAUGCAUUUAGAAGAAGCUGGAGACCAGAAACUCGGUUUUAAUAUGCCUGGAUAUACACAUUAAGGACCCAAUCCAAAUUGUUAUAGGGCUCAACUAAAUUCCUAAUAGACAGACAAUGGGUAAUGGCUGAGUUAAAUCUAAGAGUUUAAAUUGUUGCUAAAAGUUACAGUUCUGGUCCCAAAUGUAUAGAUAAAUACUCUGUUUUUCAUUUGCAUGUUGUGAAAGGAUAAUGAAGGUCCUUAAAAUGGAUUUGGAAAAUAGUUAGUUCUUCACAGAGUGGGUUUUAAAUCUUAAAAUGGUAGAGGACAGUAAAUGACAAUUAGCAAUAUCUUUUGGAUUUCUAGACAGAGUCAGUGUAGAAUGCUGAUCACUCAGCAAACGAAGAACUAUGAGGGUCAAUAUUUUUUUCCUGGAAAUUUAUCCUGUAACUCUAGCUAAAAAUACAUGAACUUAAUUCCAUUGAUAAAAAUGUUUAAUAAUGUAGUCACAUGCUAUAGAAAAAUACAGUGUGCAAAAUGGAGGGAGAGGGCAUGAUUUGUUUUGGGACUCUGCUUCUGCCAAAAUAUUGCUGGAACAGACAGGGCCGGUGCUAUCAUUUAGGCCAACUAGGCAGUUGCCUAGGGCACCAAGAUUUGGGGGAUGCCAAAAAGCAGCACCCCCAAUUUUUUUUUUUAAACAGUGGCCGCUGCGCUGAGAGUCUGAGGUGUCCCCGGCAGCCCAGGGGUCCCCAGGUCAGCGCGCCGCCGGCAGCCCAGGGGAACCCCUGGGUCAGAGCUGCCACAUGGAUCCCGAGCCUGGGGGUG